GUUGUCCUACGGGGCGCAGCAGUGAGGAAUAUUGGUCAAUGGGCGGGAGCCUGAACCAGCCACGUCGCGUGAAGGAAGAAGGUACUUAGUAUUGUAAACUUCUUUUGUCGGGGAACAAAGGCGGAGACGCGUCUCCGGAUGAGUGUACCCGAAGAAAAAGCAUCGGCUAACUCCGUGCCAGCAGCCGCGGUAAUACGGAGGAUGCGAGCGUUAUCCGGAUUUAUUGGGUUUAGGGGUGCGCAGGCGGGAGAUCAAGUCAGCGGUAAAAUGUCGGGGCUCAACCCCGGCCGGCCGUUGAAAGUGGG
Molecule: ribosomal RNA, 305 nt
Filed under: uncultured bacterium
Lineage: Bacteria
Description: bacterial SSU rRNA
Rfam family: Bacterial small subunit ribosomal RNA
Source: RNAcentral